UAAUACGUAGGUGGCAAGCGUUGUCCGGAUUUAUUGGGCGUAAAGCGCGCGCAGGCGGUCUUUUAGUCUGAUGUGAAAGCCCCCGGCUUAACCGGGGAGGGUCAUUGGAAACUGGAAGACUGGAGUGCAGAGAGGAGAGUGGAAUUCCACGUGUAGCGGUGAAAUGCGUAGAUAUGUGGAGGAACACCAGUGGCGAAGGCGACUCUCUGGUCUGUAACU
Molecule: ribosomal RNA, 219 nt
Filed under: uncultured Listeria sp.
Lineage: Bacteria; Bacillati; Bacillota; Bacilli; Caryophanales; Listeriaceae
Description: partial 16S ribosomal RNA
Rfam family: Bacterial small subunit ribosomal RNA
Source: RNAcentral